RNAcentral lists this ribosomal RNA (465 nucleotides) under uncultured bacterium. Its description in RNAcentral is "bacterial SSU rRNA". It matches the Rfam family "Bacterial small subunit ribosomal RNA", at positions 28 to 507 of the family's 1533-position model. The record is from RNAcentral.
GACGAACGCUGGCGGCGUGCCUAACACAUGCAAGUCGAACGGAGUUGUUCCUUCGGGGACAACUUAGUGGCGAACGGGUGAGUAACGCGUGAGGAACCUGCCUUCCAGUGGGGGACAACAGUUGGAAACGACUGCUAAUACCGCAUAAUAUGUACGGACCGCAUGAUCUGUACAUCAAAGCUUUAUGUGCUGGAAGAUGGCCUCGCGUCUGAUUAGCUAGUUGGUGGGGUAACGGCCCACCAAGGCGACGAUCAGUAGCCGGUCUGAGAGGAUGAACGGCCACAUUGGGACUGAGACACGGACCAGACUCCUACGGGAGGCAGCAGUGAGGAAUAUUGGUCAAUGGGCGGAAGCCUGAACCAGCCAAGUAGCGUGAAGGAUUACAGCCCUACGGGUUUUAAACUUCUUUUUGUCAGGGACGAAUAAUUGACGGUACCUGACGAAUAAGCCACGGCUAACUACGUG